CAGCGUUAUAAUGAACACCGUGUUUCUAAUUUAAUUUGCUGGUUUCACCACCAUUUUUCUUUCUUUUUACUGUGGUAUGGCACCGAGCAGCCAUGUUGUAUGCCCAAGGUUAUUUAUCUAUGACACCCAACAUGUCUUAUCAUAGUACAUUCAUGCAUACUGUAAUUUUCAUUUAGCGGCAUAUCUACUAGGCUUGGCUAACACACACGCUUGUAUAGUGGGCUAUUAGCCCUUUGUUAAAUUUAAGUCAGAGCAGUGUGCGCCAUCGCUACAUCGAUAAUCGACUUGCCUAGCAGGCCAUCAAUGUCUUACGAUUUUUACUUAGGAUUCAGCUUGAGACAUGGCAGCC
Non-coding RNA from Pelobates cultripes (western spadefoot toad), 349 nucleotides. Lineage: Eukaryota; Metazoa; Chordata; Amphibia; Anura; Pelobatidae. The record is from the annotation of a GenBank genome assembly.